This 341-nucleotide RNase P RNA is filed under the name Candidatus Obscuribacterales bacterium. RNAcentral describes it as "RNase P RNA component class A". It matches the Rfam family "Bacterial RNase P class A". Rfam says of the family: Ribonuclease P (RNase P) is a ubiquitous endoribonuclease, found in archaea, bacteria and eukarya as well as chloroplasts and mitochondria. Its best characterised activity is the generation of mature 5'-ends of tRNAs by cleaving the 5'-leader elements of precursor-tRNAs. Lineage: Bacteria; Bacillati; Candidatus Melainabacteria; Candidatus Obscuribacterales. The record is from RNAcentral.
GAAGCGGCUCAGACCGUCGCGUCCGUGAGGAUGAGGAAAGUCCGGGCACCGCAGGGCUGGUUGCUGGGUAACGCCCAGUGCGCGUGAGCGUGAGGAUAGUGCCACAGAAAUGAAGACCGCCGGCUAGACCGGUAAGGGUGCAACGGUGCGGUAAGAGCGUCACCAGCAGAGCCGAGAGGCUCUGGCUAGGUAAACCCCGCUAAAGGUGCAAGGCGAAGGUAUAUCUCGAGAGUGCGGUGGCCCGCCGUCUUGGGAUGCCGAUGCCGCUAGAGGGUUUGGGUAACCAAGCUCCAAGAUAGAUGACGGUCUAAACAGAACCCGGCUUAUGAGCCGCUUCCAAU